GCCAGGGGUAGUGCUGUGCACCUGUAGUCGCAGCUACAUGGGAGGCUGAGGUGGGAGGAUUGCUUAAACCCUUUUGAGUUUGAGGCCAGCUUGGGCAACAUAGUGAGAUGCCAUCUCCA
This 119-nucleotide small RNA is filed under the name Marmota monax (woodchuck). Lineage: Eukaryota; Metazoa; Chordata; Mammalia; Rodentia; Sciuridae. The record is from RNAcentral.